CUUUGCCUUAAAUGCUAUUCGGCUUAAUUAAUUUUUACGCUAGAAGCUGUUGUUUAAUAGUGAAUGUAUGAAUUGGGGACAUCAUUUUGAUUGUCUUUAGAGUUGUUAUAACGGGAAAGAUCAUUGGAAUUUGCAAGCAAAGAUGUAUAAUUUGACGAGAUAAGCAAAAUUGUGUUAGUGUUUUGGUUAUUAUGUCAGAAACGAAGUUUAUUAUACUGAUUUUGAGUUGAAAGCAGUGAAAUUUGCCCGUAGCAAUAAAUCUUAGUUUGACAGGAACUCUCAUUUAUUUUGUUUGAAACUCAUUUCAUGCUUGGCGUAUGCUGUUAGCCCCUGGAUAGGGAAGAGAGGGGUACCAUUAUUUUAUCAUUAUGGAGAACCCUUAAAACCUUUUAAUUUAAGAAUAGAUAAAAUGUGCUUACCUGUCGCUUAAUUCUCAAAAUGAAGCAGAGAAGGGAGAAUGAUCAAUAAGAAUGACAUGCAUAUGACAGCUUCAUGUGACAUUCUUUUCAGAUUGGAUUUAAUCAAUUCUUGAAGAUGAACUGAUUGAUGGGUAGUUGCACUCAGGAAUACAAUUCAGUGCCUGUGGAGUCUUUUGUGGUCAUCCAAAUCCAAUUCCUGGAGCAAUAGACUGCCCUACUGAUCUCACUCUUACACAUGCUUGCAUAUUUAGAUUCAUAUCAUUUUUGCAUCAAGAUUAUCACAAAGAGCAAAAAGGAAAAUAGAAG
Molecule: unclassified non-coding RNA, 725 nt
Filed under: Hevea brasiliensis (rubber tree)
Lineage: Eukaryota; Viridiplantae; Streptophyta; Magnoliopsida; Malpighiales; Euphorbiaceae
Source: RNAcentral